UACAUAUAUUAUUUACAUUGUGAAACAUGAGCUCCACAAAAAGUUGUAGUGUCAGUUUUCCUCACUGUGAUUUUUAUAGCAAAUGUUGAAGCAGUGCGCCCCGGGUGCUACCAACGAUGUAUAGCUCAAUGUGUCCAUGUCACUGAUUAUUGCCGUGAAGAAUGUAGGGAUCAUUGCCAUGAUCAUUCCGUUCUUCCUGGUGAACAGAACGUUGCUCCAAAUUUAAAGAAGAUGAAAGCUGAUCGGAAGCUGCUUGGAUGAAUGUUCAACAAGAUAUUGCACCUAAACUAGCAUGUAAUGUUAUAUAUAUGCUACUUCUUUUACAAAAGCAAAGUAUUGAAUACAAAGUAGAAAAAAUAUGAUAUCUUGAUGACUCCAAGAUAAAUCAAGAUUAAUGCUUUUACUGAAGUAAUACUUUUUGAAACUUC
Long non-coding RNA from Lycium ferocissimum, 428 nucleotides. RefSeq lists it as uncharacterized. The transcript has 2 exons. Lineage: Eukaryota; Viridiplantae; Streptophyta; Magnoliopsida; Solanales; Solanaceae. The record is from RefSeq and is a predicted model, not a curated record.